Long non-coding RNA from Solanum tuberosum (potato), 727 nucleotides. RefSeq lists it as uncharacterized. The record is from RefSeq and is a predicted model, not a curated record. Lineage: Eukaryota; Viridiplantae; Streptophyta; Magnoliopsida; Solanales; Solanaceae. The transcript is spliced from 3 exons.
AUGAGAGAAUGCUAAGGUUGUAUAGCUUGCUAAAAAUAACUUUAACGAACAAAAGAUGAUAUCCUGAUAGAGAGCCUAACAAUCGCAUAGGUGACGUUUCUUGGAAGAUAAUUCAUAUAAUGAAACAACUUUUGAAGAGAUUUUCUCUCGAUAUUUUUUCAAUGUACAAUGAUAAUCCAUGCUUUUCUUAGUACCUUUAUGAUUUUGAUAGACCUUUUCAAAAGUGCCAUUUCAACGGUUGAUAAGUGCAGGAUGAAUCACUUAGUACGAUAUUUUAUGUUGAUAAAAGUACGAGUGAGGAAAUGGCAUCAUACUCAUCUGAUGCUCCCGAAAAUCAUGAUAUCUUAGAUGGACGAUUAUCAAAUCGCCACUUUAACCACUGGGGAAUGGGAAGCAGCUCUUUGAAAAGUACAAAGCAGCGAAAUAUUUCUGGCCAUAGACAAUAUUUUCAAUAUCCUUAUGUGACUUAUCUGUUCAUGGUACAAACUACAAAGUACGAACACUGGUAGAAAAGUGAUACAUUGUGUUAAUCAUGUAGCAUAAGAUGGUGGAUGGUUAGUAAUGAGCCAAUGACACAUACUCUUGGGUUUGAUUUUGCAAAUGUAUUAAAGGAAGCAAUAGAAAAGUAGUCAUUUCAGUAAUAGGCAAGUGCAAUAUAUAUGGUGUCAAAAAAUAUGAAAAAUCGAUUGAGCAAUCGAACCAAAUCUUAUCGAACCGAUUUAAUAAA